AUGCAAACAAAUACUAACGCAUAUUACUACUCAUUCCCCCUUCUCCCAGCCGUGGUUACUCAAGGUCCACAGGUGACUUUCAUAGGACAGCAUAGUUGGCCAGUGGCAGAGGGGGAACCUGAACCCAAGUCUCUGAGUUCCAGUUUCAUCGGCUGGCUGCCUGGAUCCUUCAUGCGUGGCCUGUCUCUGCUGUCCUCGGUUGUCCAAUCUGGGAGGCUGUUGAAAGAACCAGAGACAAAGCCACUGAAUCAGAGACAAAGACAAGGUGGAUGACGGAGUUUAAUUCAUUUUCAUUUUCACACGUGCGCAUCUCAGGCCACUGAGCAUCCAUUCACCCUUUGGGUAAAAAAGCACCUCACCUGCCCUUUAAGAACCUCCCCUUCCUUCCCCCCACCCCUGCUCCCCAUUCUGGCACUUAUACUUUGGGUGGGAUUGAUCCCACUCUAUGAGUCAGCCCGACUGGCCAAAACCAGUUUGUCUUCCAGGCUUGGGAGGGGCCUGGGCUCCAACCAGAGCCAAUGAGACUUUCUGGAAGAGAGGUGGGGGCUCCUCCCCCACAGGCUUGAAUCUGGAAGCGUGGACAUGGGAACCACUGUCUCCAUUUUUGCCAUCGGAGGUGGCCUGAGAAGACACCAGCUCAGGGAGCAGAUCAAAGACGAGCUGAGACGUGGAAAGAAACCAGGGUUUUGUGGUAGCGUAAACCUCACUCAGGCAACACCAGAAGAGGCUCAGCCCUUCUGCUGGACUUUUCAGUUCUGUGAGCUUGUAUUUGGUUUCUGCCUUUUUCUUUUUUUCUUUGGUCACUUGCCGCUGAGAGAGUCCUAGACGAAACAGCAGAUGUCAUCAAAUUGUGUCUUAGAUUCUAGUUUUUUAGAGACAGUGCUUCGUGGAAAGUGUAAUGGGAUUUGGUGAGAACAUCACAGUUCCCCACUUAGGCUAGCUCCUUCCAUCUCAGGUCUGUGUUUGUGAAACAGUGCCAGGAACGCCUGCCUAUUUUGAAGGAAAAGUAAGAAAAAGAAAAACUGUAAGGUGUUUUCAGAUUUUCAUUACUGUUAUUUUUAUGCGCUCCUUGUGGGUAGGAACUAGAGUGGUUUUUUUUUUUUUUUUUUUUUUUUUUUGUAUACCACAGAGACCACUAAAGUACCUCACACAAAGCAGGUGGUCAAUAAAACUAGAGCUCUGUUUGAAUCA
This 1191-nucleotide long non-coding RNA is filed under the name Felis catus (domestic cat). RNAcentral's name for it is "lncRNA (ENSFCAG00000051317.1)". The record is from RNAcentral. Lineage: Eukaryota; Metazoa; Chordata; Mammalia; Carnivora; Felidae.